RNAcentral lists this transfer RNA (87 nucleotides) under Chloroflexia bacterium. Its description in RNAcentral is "tRNA-Leu". It matches the Rfam family "tRNA". From Rfam's summary of the family: Transfer RNA (tRNA) molecules are approximately 80 nucleotides in length. Their secondary structure includes four short double-helical elements and three loops (D, anti-codon, and T loops). Lineage: Bacteria; Bacillati; Chloroflexota; Chloroflexia. The record is from RNAcentral.
GCCGGGUUGGUGGAAUUGGCAGACACGCCAGCCUUAGGAGCUGGUGGCCGCAAGGCUGUAAGGGUUCGAGUCCCUUACCCGGCACCA